RNAcentral lists this ribosomal RNA (502 nucleotides) under uncultured bacterium. RNAcentral describes it as "bacterial SSU rRNA". It matches the Rfam family "Bacterial small subunit ribosomal RNA", at positions 63 to 558 of the family's 1533-position model. The record is from RNAcentral.
CGAACGGUAACAGGGAGCUUGCUCCGCUGACGAGUGGCGAACGGGUGAGUAAUGCAUCGGAACGUACCCAGUCGUAGGGGGAUAACGUAGCGAAAGUUACGCUAAUACCGCAUACGUCCUGAGGGAGAAAGCGGGGGGACCGUAAGGCCUCGCGCGAUUGGAGCGGCCGAUGUCGGAUUAGCUAGUUGGUAGGGUAAAGGCCUACCAAGGCGACGAUCCGUAGCGGGUCUGAGAGGAUGAUCCGCCACACUGGGACUGAGACACGGCCCAGACUCCUACGGGAGGCAGCAGUGGGGAAUUUUGGACAAUGGGCGAAAGCCUGAUCCAGCCAUGCCGCGUGAGUGAAGAAGGCCUUCGGGUUGUAAAGCUCUUUCAGGUGGAAAGAAAACGCAUAGGUUAAUACCUUGUGCGGAUGACGGUACCAUCAGAAGAAGCACCGGCUAACUACGUGCCAGCAGCCGCGGUAAUACGUAGGGUGCGAGCGUUAAUCGGAAUUACUGGG